CUUGCCCUUCCUCUAGCCCGACUACUUGGAACCCUUGACUUUAAAAACCCAUUCCAUUACCUAAGUAAAACAUUCUAAUUUUCCUAGUAUAGGCGAUAGAAAAGAUUCUUCGGCGCAAUAGAGAUCGAUCGUACCGUAAGGGAAAGGUGAAAUAACAAUGAAAACAGCAAGCAUAGAACAGUAAAGACCAACCCUUGUACCUCUUGCAUCAUGAUUUAGCAAGAACAACCAAGCAAAGUGAACUAAAAGUUUGCCCCCCCGAAACCCAAGCGAGCUACCUGUAAGCAGCUAAACUGAGCGAACCCGUCUCUGUUGCAAAAGAGUGGGAUGACUUACUGGUAGAGGUGAGAAGCUAACCGAGCUGGGUGAUAGCUGGUUACCUGCUAAAUGAAUUUAAGUUCCCCCUUAACUCAUUCCCCAAGGACACCUACCUGAUCCCAUCCGUGUAAGAGUUAAGAGUAAUUCGAUGGGGGUACAGCCCCUUCGAAAAAGAACACAACCUCCUCCAGCGGAUAAUCCAUUUUUCUCCCUCCCCCAUCGUAGGCCCUAAAGCAGCCAUCAACAAAAGAGUGCGUCAAAGCUCCCCAUAAAAAAAUCUAUACCCCCAUCUGAUUCCCUAACCCCAAGCAGGUUAACCUAUGACAAUAGAAGAAUCAAUGCUAAAAUGAGUAACUUGGAGCCCUCCUCAUCGGCGUAAACUUACAUUAACAUAUUAUUAACAGAACAACUUAUAUCCCCACUUCAACAAGAAUAUAUAUUUAAUCUAAUCUGUUACCCCAACUCAGGAGCGCCAAUAUUAGACGAUUAAAACCUGCAAAAGGAACUCGGCAAACCAAAGACCCGACUGUUUACCAAAAACAUAGCCUUCAGCCAACAACAAGUAUUGAAGGUGAUGCCUGCCCAGUGACCUAAAAGUUCAACGGCCGCGGUAUCCUAACCGUGCGAAGGUAGCGCAAUCAAUUGUCCCAUAAAUUGAGACUUGUAUGAAAGGCUAAACGAGGUCUUAACUGUCUCUUGCAGGUAAUCAGUGAAAUUAGUAUUCCCGUGCAAAAACGAGAAUGUGAUCAUAAGACGAGAAGACCCUGUGGAACUUAAAAAUAACGACCACUCCUUCACUAACACUAUCCACCGGACCCACCCCCAUAAGACACUUGGUCGACAUUUUUCGGUUGGGGCGACCUUGGAGAAAAAUAAAUCCUCCAAACCCAUAGACCACAACUCUUCACUAAGACCUACCCAUCAAAGUACUAACAGUAAUUUAGACCCGAUACAAUUGACCAAUGAACCAAGCUACCCCAGGGAUAACAGCGCAAUCUCCUCCAAGAGCCCAUAUCGACAAGGAGGUUUACGACCUCGAUGUUGGAUCAGGACAACCUAAUGGUGCAGCCGCUAUUAAGGGUUCGUUUGUUCAACGAUUAACAGUCCUACGUGAUCUGAGUUCAGACCGGAGCAAUCCAGGUCGGUUUCUAUCUAUGAACAGACUCCUCCUAGUACGAAAGGACCGGAGAAGUGGGGCCAAUGUCAUAAGACACACCCCAGUCUUACAAGCAAUGAAUGCAACUCAAUUGCCAAAAAGCCUAUAAUACACACCCAAUUCCUAGAAAAGGAACA
Molecule: ribosomal RNA, 1611 nt
Filed under: Falcipennis canadensis (siberian grouse)
Lineage: Eukaryota; Metazoa; Chordata; Aves; Galliformes; Phasianidae
Description: 16S ribosomal RNA
Rfam family: Bacterial large subunit ribosomal RNA
Source: RNAcentral